RNAcentral lists this unclassified non-coding RNA (904 nucleotides) under Hevea brasiliensis (rubber tree). The record is from RNAcentral. Lineage: Eukaryota; Viridiplantae; Streptophyta; Magnoliopsida; Malpighiales; Euphorbiaceae.
UGCUAAGACAAGUGCAACUAGCAUUCCACAACCUUGUCAAGUUCUGCCUUCUGAAGCCUGGUUACAGAAUGAGCGGGAGCUGAAACGGGAGAGGAGGAAACAAUCAAAUCGAGAAUCUGCUAGAAGGUCAAGAUUGAGGAAACAGGCUGAGACUGAAGAACUUGCUCAUAAAGUGCGAAUCCUUGACCUCUGAGAAUUUGGCACUUAAAUCAGAAAUGAAACAAUUGACCGAGAAAUCCGAUAAGCUAAGGCUGGAAAAUACAGCAUUACUGGAGAAGCUCAAAAAUUCACAGUUAGGACGUACACAAGAGAUUAUUUUAAACAGCAGUGAGGAGCAACGUGCCUCAGCAGUUGGUACAGAGAACCUGCUGUCAAGAGUUAAUAAUUCUGCCUCUGUUGAUAGAAGCACGAGGGAAGAGGGGGAGCUUUAUGAGAGAAACUCAAACUCAGGCGCCAAGCUGCAUCAACUCUUGGGUGCAAGUCCAAGAGCAAGAGCCGAUGCCGUGGCUGCAAGUUAAUUUUAGAAAAUAGUUUGUCUAGAGGCAACCAUGUAGUUUUGGCAUAUUACAAGCCCAAAACUACUACUAACAGCUAGCAGAGGGAUGGAAUUUAGGGUUGUAAUCCUUCUCUUGGACGUUUGAUCCACUUGUAAGUUACUUUUGUCAUGGCAGGAGUGAUGUAAUUUUAUCAGAACUCUGCGUGCUGUAAUGGUCACUGAAAGGUAAUGUAAAUUGAAGAGAAUUAGAGAUUUGGUUCAGGGAUGUUGAAACUUUCAACAUGCAUUUGUCUCUGAUGUAGACGUGUUUAUGAUACAUGUAUGGGAAGAGUACUUGAGAAUAUGUAUGCUUAUUGAUUACUACUGGAGUUCAACGGAGGUCCAAAGAUAAAAGUGUGCAGUGGGAAA